UACGUAGGGGGCAAGCGUUGUCCGGAUUUAUUGGGCGUAAAGAGCGUGUAGGCGGCCAUGUAGGUCCGUUGUGAAAACUCGAGGCUCAACCUCGAGACGCCGAUGGAAACCAUGUGGCUAGAGUCCGGAAGAGGAGAGUGGAAUUCCUGGUGUAGCGGUGAAAUGCGCAGAUAUCAGGAAGAACACCCGUGGCUAAGGCGGCUCUCUAGUACGGUACUGACGCUGAGACGCGAAGGCCAGGGGAGCAAACGGG
This 253-nucleotide ribosomal RNA is filed under the name uncultured bacterium. RNAcentral's name for it is "partial 16S ribosomal RNA". It matches the Rfam family "Bacterial small subunit ribosomal RNA", at positions 524 to 776 of the family's 1533-position model. The record is from RNAcentral.